GAAACAGUGGCUAAGACUGGAUAGGAAGAUAAAAGGCAUCUUGUAUCUUUUAAAAGACCUAGUAAUAGGUAUGCUUUAGGAGGGGCUUGCGCCAUAUUAGUUAGUUGGUAGGGUAAUGGCCUACCAAGACGAUGAUGUGUAGCUGGACUGAGAGGUUGAACAGCCACAUUGGGACUGAGACACGGCCCAAACUCCUACGGGAGGCAGCAGUAGGGAAUUUUCGGCAAUGGAGGAAACUCUGACCGAGCAACGCCGCGUGAAUGACGAAGUACUUCGGUAUGUAAAGUUCUUUUAUCAAGGAAGAAAAGCAAAUGGCGAACCAUUUGUUUGCCGGUACUUGAUGAAUAAGCCCCGGCUAAUUAUGUGCCAGCAGCCGCGGUAAGACAUAAGGGGCAAGUGUUAUCCGGAAUUAUUGGGCGUAAAGGGUGCGUAGGCGGUCUAGUAAGUCAGUGGUGUAAUGGCAACGCUUAACGUUGUCCGGCUAUUGAAACUGCUAAACUUGAGUUAGAUAGAGGCGAGUGGAAUUCCAUGUGUAGCGGUAAAAUGCGUAAAUAUAUGGAGGAACACCAGAGGCGUAGGCGGCUCGCUGGGUCUUAACUGACGCUGAGGCACGAAAGCGUGGGGAGCAAACAGGAUUAGAUACCCUGGUAGUCCACGCCGUAAACGAUGAGUACUAAGUGUCGGGUUAAACCGGUACUGAAGUUAACACAUUAAGUACUCCGCCUGAGUAGUACGUACGCAAGUAUGAAACUUAAAGGAAUUGACGGGACUCCGCACAAGCGGUGGAUCAUGUUGUUUAAUUCGAAGAUACCCGAAAAACCUUACCAGGUCUUGACAUGUUUUUGCAAAAUGAUAGUAAUAUCGUGGAGGUUACCAGAAACACAGGUGGUGCAUGGUUGUCGUCAGCUCGUGUCGUGAGAUGUUAGGUUAAGUCCUAAAACGAGCGAAACCCUUAUCGUUAGUUGCCAGCACGUUAUGGUGGGGACUUUAACGAGACUGCCAAUGAUAAAUUGGAGGAAGGUGAGGAUCACGUCAAAUCAGCAUGCCCCUUAUGACCUGGGCUACAAACGUGAUACAAUGGCUGUUACAAAGGGUAGCUGAAACGCAAGUUCUUGGCCAAUCCCCAAAAACAGUCCCAGUCCGGAUUGAAGUCUGCAACUGGACUUCAUGAAGUGGAUGUCGCUAGUAAUCCGA
This 1194-nucleotide ribosomal RNA is filed under the name Fars marigold phyllody phytoplasma. RNAcentral describes it as "bacterial SSU rRNA". It matches the Rfam family "Bacterial small subunit ribosomal RNA", at positions 153 to 1346 of the family's 1533-position model. Lineage: Bacteria; Bacillati; Mycoplasmatota; Mollicutes; Acholeplasmatales; Acholeplasmataceae. The record is from RNAcentral.